This is a long non-coding RNA of Cydia pomonella (codling moth), 3703 nucleotides long. RefSeq lists it as uncharacterized. The transcript has 3 exons. The record is from RefSeq and is a predicted model, not a curated record. Lineage: Eukaryota; Metazoa; Arthropoda; Insecta; Lepidoptera; Tortricidae.
AAUGUUUUGGUCACUCAAGUAUGUCAAAUAGCAGGUCAGUUUUCUUCCACAUUUCUAAAAUAAUAAGCAACAUGGCCAUCGUAUCUGUUAAUUUUAAGGAAUCUGCUAAUCGCGGUGCGCACGCGCGUCGCUACGCACGAUCUGAGCCCGGUGUGCACGUAAAAUCAGUAAUCAGUGUUGCAAGUCUAUGCCAACAAGAGCAUUGAUUUACUAUUGAGACUUUAACGACACUGGAAAUUACUCGCUUUUGAAACGCAAAUUCGUCAAUCUAUUAGCCAAACGGCUUGUGGUGAUGUCCCAGGAUCUUCAGAAUAGACCGCAUUCGAUUUGUUUAAAUAAUUUAUUUAUUCGAUAUAUAACUUUCUAAUUAGCUUCACUGUUCAGAAAUAUAACGAAAAACUUCUAAAAAUGGAGGAAGACUGAUUGCAGCAUUGUUAUGCUCAGAUCUCUGACUGAGAUGGACUGGUUGAAAUGAAAAAAAUUGUGUAUGUGAUAUGUUUUUAAGUGUGUAAGAAAUCUAAUGAUUCAUUAAUCAUUUACAAAUUUAUUUUUAUAACUUAGCAUACUCACUCAGAAAGCGUAGUCCAUGUUCGCAUUACGCAUUAUCUAUUCAAAUAAUCGUAGACCCAUUAUAAAAUAGCAAUCGUAGGAUCAAUAAAUAAAACCGCAUACCCAUUGGUUGAGAAUGCAGACGCAUUGCACGAACUAAAGACAAAUAAAUGAUAAAGACUGGACCAUACCAAAGCACUAACUAUCACGCAUAGAGCCGUAGGAGCUAUUGGAACGGCAGUUUGAAUGAAGAUUUUUAGUUGUUGUUUAAUAAGUUUUAUGAAGUAUAAUUAUUAAUGGUAUAUACAAUCAUAAUAAUACUUAAAUCUAAAAUAAUAAGUUAAAUACUAUGCUAAGUAUAAUAUUUUAUACAGUACAUAUGGUGCUACUUUACCGCCCUAGUGCGGUAACUAAAACUAUUCGUGCGUAGGUCGAAAAUUGAAAGGCUCAUAUCUACUGUAAAACGUACCAUCAGCCGUAAAAAUGCAUGGCGACUUUAUCAAUGAAUCCAUACAUAAUUUUUCCAUGAAAUUUCGCAGCUCACUGUACAAUACACAUGUGAGAAGGUAAUUCGCAAUUACUAUUUACCUAGUCCUAUUUACUUAUUCCUAAAUACCUUUUCUAUAUAUUUCUUUUUGCCACUUUCCCGAGACGAUAGACAUCCCGACUGUAGUCGGGAUGUCUAUCGUCUCUAAUUCUCCCUCAAUUGUUGGAAGGUUAACUGGAAGAGAUCCUUUAAAGGGAUAAGUUCGCCUUUGUACUAAUGAUAAGUGUUUUUUUCUUAUUUUGUUUUAUUAUUGUACAAUAAAGAGUUUGACUACUCCAGUAAUUAUUAUAUUUCGCAUUUGUAUCGUAAUGUACUAUUUCGAAAAUACCACGAUGGGCUACCCAGUGCAAAGGUGCCCAUCAAAUUCUCCGCAUUACUACGUUGGAUGGCCAACCUUUGCACGAGAUACGAACCCGAACCGUGCAAGUAUCGCAGGUCUUCUUCGGGAAUUUUGUGUACCAAUUUAGAAUGAAAAUUUAAAAUCUUUAUUUACAAUAACAAUAUACAUAAUGGAUAUAUGUAUACAGAUGAUUACUAUAACUAGCUUAUAUCUAAAAUUCCCUUCCCUUGAGGCAUUGUACCAAGGAUGCUGGCGGCAUUUCCUCGUUGUAUCGCAAUACUGAUACGUUGUGCGAGGAAGCCGCCAGCUCUUCGGUCACCACUUACGUCAAUCAGAUUUUUCGCGAUUAUUCCAAAAAACUUGUGCGCGCUGUGACCCCAGGGACCUAGAGUUUCAACGCCAAAUGGUACAAAAUGGUCCUCUCUACACCUGAAAUGUAUGCGUUCCAAACCUAAAAUGUAUAUCAAUAAUACAAAGGCACACGACUUGAUACAGAAAUUGACAGUCUUUUUAUUGACAAGUCUCUUCGUGAACUAAUUAAGUUGGGUAACGCAUAGCUGCAAUAAUGAGCAUGAUAACAUCUCGAUGGCUGGACGGUGGAUUUCAGUUUGCGUCAUUUUGCGGACUCCCCAUUUUAUUGAUUAUUUAAAUAGCUAUUGAACAGAUAUAUUUAGAAUGGCCGUAAUAUCUCACAGGCUUCCCAAUACUAAGAUUUUUUGAUUGUACAAGGAGAAUUAAAGAAUUCUUGGGGUAUCUGUGUUGACAGUUUUAUUUAUAACAUAACACAAAAGUUAAAUUUCUUAGAAAUCAGCAAAGCGUGACCCAAAUUCAAGAAGCCUUUUGGGUAAAGUCCGAAGUUUUAAACAACAUUAAUCUGUAUUCGGCGUUUUGGCUGGGUUAUAGGUGUUGCAAUCAUUUUUGACAUAACCCUCCCACUGUUAAUUAAUUCAAUUUUUUUAAUGACAAAAAAAUAGGUGGCACACGAGCAGGCGAAUCUCCUGAUGGAAGUAAUUACAGUCGGCUAUGGUCACCUGCAACACCAGAGGGGUUACAAGUGUGUUGCCGGCCUUAAAUACUCCCAAGUACGUUAUUUUCUUCCAAGAUUCUAUCCAUCUGGAUAUACCGCGGGCAGUUCAAUCCACAGUUAAGCUGUGCAAGGCAGGCAGUAUCUGGAAAAAUGCACAGUUAGUUUGAUUUUUGUCAAACCUUGCUAAGAACCACCGCAAGAUAACACACUUUCACGUAAAAAAUCGCACCGAAAGUGGUCCAUCCGAUUGAAACUAUUGAAAGCUACGAUGCCACAGACAGACACAUAGACAAACAUUGUCGUCAAACGUAUAACACCGUUCUUUUCUCUACAGGGGUUAAAAAAAGGUGUAUUCCCAUCUGUGCCCGCCUCUUGUAUGGCGGUAGUCACAUGGGACGGGCACAUAUGGGAAUACACCGUUAAAAAACAAUAAAUAUUCUCUGAAAUGUCCCAUGUUUGGUGCCAUUAUCAUGGGUACAAUUGGCUUUUUUUAUAAAUAACGUAAUUAAAAAUUAUAUAUUUUAUAUCCGUUCUCGCCAAAAUAAUAAAAAACAUCCAAAAAUGUACGCAACGUGUUUUAUUUAAAUUAUUCUCCAUAAAACGUUAAUUAAUCCAUUAUGCUUGCUUAUUUUGGGCAUUUUUUAUACGUUUUUUUUUAUUUUAUUUUCUCCGUAUUUUGAUAAAGUUUGGUGGAUAGAUAGUUUCUUAUUCUGUACAACAUUAGUGCAAUGUCACCGUAUGUCCUACAAAAUCUUCCACUGUGUUACGGGAAACCUAUGGAAUAUAAUGAUAUAUAAAGAGAAAACUUAAUAUAACUGAAACUGCUGGAACUAACAGAACUUGUUCUCAUUCGUAGACAACAACGAUAAAGUAAAAUUGAUUAAUCAUGGUUGGUCUCUCGGCGCAAGUAAUAUUUGAAUAGCGGCUAGGAACCGCUCAAACAAAUUCAAGUUUUCAUUCUAAUGGGAAUGAUGGCAGCCUUGUAAUUUAUCAUUUAGCGUUAGGUACACUCAGCGAUAUGUUCCUGCUCUGGCGGUUCAAGGAGACUGGCUAAUUAGUCACGACGGUUGCUGCCUAUGCCGACGAUUGCUGUUGCCUCUUGGACAACUAUUGGAAUGAGUUGGUAGCUUUUGUUUGAUUGUGAAACGGUACAAUUCUCAAGUUAUUAUCAAGGCACGACCGCUGAAGCCUAGAACUACGAGUAUGAAUCAAUUAUUUCGUAAAAAUACGUUACAAAACU